Molecule: ribosomal RNA, 2038 nt
Filed under: Neurospora crassa OR74A
Lineage: Eukaryota; Fungi; Ascomycota; Sordariomycetes; Sordariales; Sordariaceae
Description: Neurospora crassa rRNA NCU15759
Rfam family: Eukaryotic large subunit ribosomal RNA
Source: RNAcentral
GUAGUCCUUUAAAAUUAAUAGCGGAUUCGUUAAUUAUACUGAAUAUAAUAAUUCUAUAUUGUUAUAAUUAUACGGCGGGUUCUUAUUGUAAAACCCCUUAUUUUUAAAAUUGACUUCGGAUUAAGUAGGAAUACCUAUUGAAUUUAAGUAUAUUAAUAAAUAGAGGAAAAGAAACUAAUAAGGAUUGUCCUAAUAAUAGUAAGUAAAGUAGUAAUAGUUCAAAUUUAAAAUCUAAUUUUAACCCGAAUUAUAAUUUAUAGAAGAAACUUUUAGUAAAGUACCUUUUAAGUCCCUUAAAACGGGGCGCUAUAAAGGGUGAGAGCCUUAUAUAAUUAAAUGCCGAUUUAAUAUAAAGUUCCUUCGACGAAUUGAAUAGUUUAGGAAUAUUAUUUAAAAUAGGAAGUAAAUUUCUUCUAAAACUAAAUACUAAUUAGAGACUAAUAGUAUAUAAGUAGAGUAAUUGAAAAAUGAAAAGUAUUUUGAAAAGAGGAUUAAAUAGUAUAUAAAAUUAUUAAAAGGGAAGUGUUUGUAAUUAGAUUUAUACCGUUCCAAUUAUUCGGUAUUUUUAUUAGUAUAUUUAGGACGGUUUAAAUUAAUAUCGGUUUUAGUAGGAGGAUAAAAGUCCGGGGAAUAUAGCUCCUCCGGGAGUAUUAUAACCUUAGGUAUAAUACCCUCGCUAGGACCGAAGUUCGUAUAUUUAUAAGAAUAUUAGUGUAAUAGUUAUUAAUAACCUAUUUUAAAAUAUAAAUUAAGGAGUUAAAGUUUUAUACGAAUAUUUAGGUAUAAAACCCGCACGUAUAAUAAAAAUAAAUAUAAAUAAGAGCUUCGGCGUAUUAUUAACUAAUUUUAAUAUAUUUGGAUAGAUUUAAAUAAGAGCGUUAAACUUUAAACCCGAAAGAUAGUAAAUUAUAUUUAAAUAGGGUAAAGUUAGAGGAAACUCUAGUAGAAGCUUGUAAUAGUUUUAAUAUAUAAAUUAAUUGUUAAAUUUAAGUAUAGGGGCGAAAGAUUAAUCGAACUAUCUAAUAGCUAAUUACCGCCGAAAUUUCCCUUAGAAUAGCAGUAUUAUUCUUUAAUUUUAUAAAGUAAAGCGAAUAAUUAGGGAUUCGGGGGCGCUUUUUAACCUUUAUCCAUUUUCAAACUUUAAAUAUAUAAGAAGCCCUUAUUACUUAAUUAAAUAUAGGCAUUCGAAUAUACCAAUACUAGUAGGCCAUUUUUAGUAAGCAGAACUAGUAAUAUAAAAUAAACUAAACGCGGAAUUAAAGUACUAAAGUAGAUGCUCAUUAAAUACUAUAAAAGGCGUUAGUAUAUUUUAAUAGUAGGACGGUAGCUAUAGAAGUCAGAAUUUACUAAGGAUUAUAUAAUAAUUUACUUACCGAAUAUACUAGCCCUAAAAAUAGAUAGCGCUUAAACGUCCUACCUAUACCCCGCCCUUAAGGUAGAAACAAUACCUUAAGGAAUAAAUAAUUAUAAAGGUUAAUAACGAAGCCUAGGGCGUAAACCUAGGUCGAACGGCCUCUAGUACAAAUUUUAAUAGUAAUAGUAAAUACUUUAAUAAGAAUUUGAAGGACCGAAGUAGGGAAAGGUUUUAUAUAAAUAGCGGUUGGAUAUAAAUUAGUCGAUCCUAAACUAUAAGGAAAUUCCGUUUCAAAGGGGCACUUAUACUCCAUAUAGCAAAAGGGAAACCAAUUAAUAUUCCGGUACUUAGAUAUAGGUUUUAUAUAGCAACGUAAUUAAAUACAGAAAUAACGGUAGGGGCCCCGGGUAGAAUUCUCUUUUCUUCUUAAUAAUCUAUUACCUUAAAAAUAGUUUAUUUAGAAAUAGGGUUUAAUAGCCGGAAGAGCCUAAUACUUUUAUUAAGUCUAAUAUACUUUUAAUAUCCUUUAAAAAUCUACGGGAGGGAAUAAUUCUUACGCUAAAUCGUACUUAUAACUAUAAUAAGUUUCUAAAGUAAAUAGCCUCUAAUUAAUAGAAUAAUAUAAAUAAAGGAAAUUAGUAAAAUAGAUCCGUAAUUUUAGGAAAAAAAUUAGCUCUAAGGGUU